Molecule: ribosomal RNA, 253 nt
Filed under: uncultured bacterium
Lineage: Bacteria
Description: partial 16S ribosomal RNA
Rfam family: Bacterial small subunit ribosomal RNA
Source: RNAcentral
UACGGGGGGGGCAAGCGUUGUUCGGAAUUACUGGGCGUAAAGGGCUCGUAGGCGGCCAACUAAGUCAUACGUGAAAUCCCUCGGCUUAACCGGGGAACUGCGUCUGAUACUGGAUGGCUUGAGUUCGGGAGAGGGAUGCGGAAUUCCAGGUGUAGCGGUGAAAUGCGUAGAUAUCUGGAGGAACACCCGUGGCUAAGGCGGCUCUCUAGUACGGUACUGACGCUGAGAAGCGAAAGCGUGGGGAGCGAACAGG